AUGGCUUUCUCUAAGCUUCUAGCUGCUUCACUUCUGGCAUCACUUCUCCUUCUCCAUUUUGUUGAUGCAGCAGAUCAAUCGGAGCAUGCAAAAACACAAGGUUCUCUUCUUCAGCAAAUAGAUUGUAAUGGAUCAUGUGUUGCAAGAUGCCGUUUAUCAUCUCGACCAAGAUUGUGUCAAAGAGCAUGUAGGACAUGUUGUAGAAGAUGUAACUGCGUGCCACCUGGUACUGCUGGAAACCAAGAAAAGUGUCCUUGUUAUGCCAGCUUGACUACUCAUGGUGGCAAACGCAAGUGCCCAUAG
RNAcentral lists this long non-coding RNA (303 nucleotides) under Vicia faba (fava bean). The record is from RNAcentral. Lineage: Eukaryota; Viridiplantae; Streptophyta; Magnoliopsida; Fabales; Fabaceae.